This 214-nucleotide long non-coding RNA is filed under the name Vigna radiata. RNAcentral describes it as "long non-coding RNA (VRAD_LNC001600)". The record is from RNAcentral. Lineage: Eukaryota; Viridiplantae; Streptophyta; Magnoliopsida; Fabales; Fabaceae.
GUAGGGGAAGUUUAAGUUUUUGUGUGUUGGAAAGGAUUGAACGAAAAUUGUAUGAGUUGGUGAGCUUUAGAUUUUUUUUUUUUUAAACGAGAAAGGGAGGUGAAGUAAUUUAAAGAGAAAUAUAAGAGGUUGUGAUACUUAGUUACAUUUUUGGGUGUAAUAGAAGAAGGGGUAUUGGUAUGUUUAUUUGUAAUAUGGGUGAAGGGAAAUUUAA